ACUUAACAUUGUGGUCCCGCCUCUUGACUCUCAGCCAACCAGGCUCCCCAAUUCCGGCCCAGCGCAUCUGAGUGGCAGGUCAGCCUUCCAAUGAGAGCUUCAAGGCGGCGACAACGGCCCCCGCCCCCAGCUGACAGGCCCGGUUCCGAGGCUCAGUUGCUGUGGCGGUGGCAGCGGCGCCUUCUUCAAGAUGAGUGGCCCCAACGUGGCGCUGCUGCGGGUCCUUUCCAGGGUCGCAGGUGCAGGACCCACCGGAUGUCUGGCUCGGGGCCUACACGGCAGCCCCACCUCCUCCUCCUACAGAGACUCCGAUCGGGGCCCUCACACACCCUGAAUGACUCAGGGCCCUGUGCCGCCCCUCCCUCUCUCCUUCACCUCAGUCAUGUGUCUGGGGUUCCAUUCAGGAGAUUCCCAAGCAGAAAUGGAGGCCCAGCCCUGAGGGAGACGAGGAGGCAGAGGGAGAGCCCAGAGGAGACUCCCUAUGUGAGCACCCCAGGGGGAGGGAGAGCUGACCCUAACGUGCCAGGCCAGGAAGCCCUCCGCCCCGGGGAGGACCCAACACAGAAACUGCUGCCCAAGAAGUUUAUUGGGAGAAGCCGCAGAGUUGUUACUCGUUGGGCGAUGGCACCACAGCGUCCGGCAGCGCCUGCAGUCCCAGCAUGGGGUUUCGGGUUCCGGGAGUUUGGGAGGGAGGUUCAGGAGCAUUUUUUGGUUUCUUUUCCUCCUUGGGUCCCAGAG
This 738-nucleotide long non-coding RNA is filed under the name Monodelphis domestica (gray short-tailed opossum). RNAcentral describes it as "lncRNA (ENSMODG00000050991.1)". The record is from RNAcentral. Lineage: Eukaryota; Metazoa; Chordata; Mammalia; Didelphimorphia; Didelphidae.